RNAcentral lists this ribosomal RNA (379 nucleotides) under uncultured eukaryote. RNAcentral describes it as "partial 18S ribosomal RNA". It matches the Rfam family "Eukaryotic small subunit ribosomal RNA", at positions 592 to 976 of the family's 1831-position model. The record is from RNAcentral.
CAAUAGCGUAUAUUUAAGUUGUUGCAGUUAAAAAGCUCGUAGUUGGAUUUCGGAUGGGAUUUGCCGGUCCGUCGUUACGAUGUGCACUGGCCAGUCCUAUCUUGUUGUCGGGGACUAGCUCCUUGGAUUCACUUCCUGGGACUAGGAGCUGACGAGGUUACUUUGAGUAAAUUAGAGUGUUCAAAGCAAGCCUACGCUCUGAAUACAUUAGCAUGGAAUAACACGAUAGGACUCUGGCUUAUCUUGUUGGUCUGUGAGACCAGAGUAAUGAUUAAGAGGGACAGUCGGGGACGUUCGUAUUUCAUUGUCAGAGGUGAAAUUCUUGGAUUUAUGAAAGACGAACUUCUGCGAAAGCAUUUGUCAAGGAUGUUUNCAUUAA